AAUAGUUUUUUAAUUGAAAACUGGGAUGAAUGAAGUGAUGAAACUUAUACUGUUUUAGAUGGGGUAAUUAAAUUUAUUUGUUAAGUAAAAAGGCUUAAAUGAAAAUAUGGGACGAGAAGACCCUAUAGAAUUUUAUAUAAAUUUAUUAUAGAGUAUAUUUAUGAAAAAUUUAAUAAAGUUAUCUUUUAUUGGGAGGAUAGAUAAAUUAAGAAAACUUUAAUUUUGUAGAAACAUUAAUUUAUGAUACGUAAAUGAGUGGCUUAGAAGUUUAAGGAGAAUUAAUUACCUUAGGGAUAACAGCAUUAUAUCUUUAGAGAGAUCUUAUUAAUAAAGAUGUUUGU
This 341-nucleotide ribosomal RNA is filed under the name Pheidole fullerae. RNAcentral's name for it is "partial 16S large subunit ribosomal RNA". Lineage: Eukaryota; Metazoa; Arthropoda; Insecta; Hymenoptera; Formicidae. The record is from RNAcentral.